AAGGGAAGCGACCAUGUGAAUGCGAACAAAUCCCAAAAAUAACGUCUCAGUUCGGAUUGUAGUCUGCAACUCGACUACAUGAAGCUGGAAUCGCUAGUAAUCGCGAAUCAGAAUGUCGCGGUGAAUGCGUUCCCGGGUCUUGUACACACCGCCCGUCACACCAUGGGAGUCAGUAACGCCCGAAGCCGGUGACCCAACCAAACGGAGGGAGCCGUCGAAGGUGGGACCGAUAACUGGGGUGAAGUCGUAACAAGGUACC
RNAcentral lists this ribosomal RNA (259 nucleotides) under uncultured bacterium. RNAcentral's name for it is "partial 16S ribosomal RNA". It matches the Rfam family "Bacterial small subunit ribosomal RNA", at positions 1242 to 1500 of the family's 1533-position model. The record is from RNAcentral.